GACGAGCGCUGGCGGCGUGCUUAACACAUGCAAGUCGAACGGUGAAGCGAGUGCUUGCACUCGUGGAUCAGUGGCGAACGGGUGAGUAACACGUGAGUAACCUGCCCAUCACUCUGGGAUAAGCACUGGAAACGGUGUCUAAUACUGGAUACGACCAACCCUUGCAUGGGGUGUUGGUGGAAAGAUUUAUCGGUGAUGGAUGGACUCGCGGCCUAUCAGCUUGUUGGCGGGGUAAUGGCCCACCAAGGCGACGACGGGUAGCCGGCCUGAGAGGGUGACCGGCCACACUGGGACUGAGACACGGCCCAGACUCCUACGGGAGGCAGCAGUGGGGAAUAUUGCACAAUGGGCGAAAGCCUGAUGCAGCGACGCCGCGUGAGGGAUGACGGCCUUCGGGUUGUAAACCUCUUUCAGCAGGGAAGAAGCGAAAGUGACGGUACCUGCAGAAGAAGCACCGGCUAACUACGUG
RNAcentral lists this ribosomal RNA (469 nucleotides) under uncultured bacterium. RNAcentral's name for it is "partial 16S ribosomal RNA". It matches the Rfam family "Bacterial small subunit ribosomal RNA", at positions 28 to 507 of the family's 1533-position model. The record is from RNAcentral.